This is a non-coding RNA of Stegodyphus mimosarum, 71 nucleotides long. The record is from Rfam. NCBI's taxonomy places the organism in Eukaryota, Metazoa, Arthropoda, Arachnida, Araneae, Eresidae.
GCCUUCGUGGUGUAACGGUAGCACACUUGGAGCGUAUUCAAAAGGUCCAGGUUCGAGUCCCGGCGAGGGCA